AGCUUUGUUCCCGAGACUCCAGUUAUUUGCUGAUCACCACCAUGCGCUGACGUGUUCUCUUCAUGCACUGUGCUAUUUCAUUAGUGUCUUAUCUUGGCAGUAAAUGUGUUUAUCAAGGUUUUUCAAUUUUAGUUUUUAAUGAAAGCAACAUUAGCGGCAAAUGAUAUUAUAAUCUUUUGACAGUAAAUGUGGUUAUUAAGGUUUUGUAAUUUUUUUUUCUUUUCCAAAGAUUGUAACAUUUGCGGUAUGUGAUAUUGUUUAAUGAUGAUUUUUAGAAAAAGACAACCUGUAAUUCACUUGAUAAGGACUAAAACCAAUGGUCGAAACGUUGUGUACAGAACAACAAUAAAGUUGCCAGUUGGGUUGACAAAAAUACUAUAUAUUAUAAUAAAAUAUAUUACGAAAAUCUUAUUUAGAAUAGUCUUGAAAAAAGAAAUAACUUACACUUUUCAAAUAUCAUCCUGUGAGAUGCACUAAAAUAUGUAAUAUUAGUAUGCCAAUAUUAUACUAGUUUAUCGUAAAAUGUUUUCAUCUUUCGAGAUGGUUCGAACAGACAUCAUCAGAUACUAACUUUCUUAGUUCCUGAUAUUCUGCACCGAUCAAUGACACAUCAUAAGAUAAUGACUACUAGUUCAGCACUAAAUGUAAAGGAUUUUAUAGUCUUACUCUGUAAUCUUCAUGGUAAAUGUAAUAAAGAAGAUAUUUCAAAAGAUCAUCCAUUUUCAUCGCGGAUGGCAAUUUGCGGAUGUCUUUACUUUCUUUCGAACGAUAGUAUAACAAAGGAUAUACUGUAUAAAUUAUUAUACAGCAAGAAAUUCGUGCUAUUGUUAAUGUUAAUUAAUCUGCGAUAUAGCCAAGCAAUGAUUAUAGGAUGGGUGACACAUGCAAUUGUCAUUCUCUGAGAAGAUCAUCGCUCUGGUUAUUGUACCCCAUAUCAAUCAUACUGCGGUACAUAUAUAUUAAUAGAAAACGAGAAAGGUAUCAAUUCCAGAAGAAUAAAUAAUAAAUAGCUUAAGAUUCACGAGCAGCUAUUCAUCUUGACAGUGAUAGUUUGAAUGUGAAACAGAGAAAAGCAAGAGCAUGGACUUCCAAAAUGUAAAUCCUCUAAACGUUUGGAUAAACUUUAUUUCGGGCAAUCUGUUCCCGAUGACCGCCGAUGACACGUCAUUUCCUGUACUCUGGAAGAUUUACAGCAUUCUACUGUGGUUGCUCGAGCUAGUCCAAAUGUGCGUGCUAAUCCGCGGAUGCAUUCUAGUGCCGAAGGAGCGGGCGUUGAAAGACGGUUUGAUCGGCCUCGCAAUAACUAUCGAGGUGGUCUUCAUAGUCGUGCGAAUUCAGACACGUAGGGGAUUGAUACAGCAACUGAUUCAGAACCUAAACGAUAUUCUGCGCACCAAGGAUGAGAUAAUGAGGAACAUCGUGAUAGGGAUCUUCAAACCGAUAAAGGCACCCUUCAAGUUCUACCUGAUAGGUGGCACGGCAUCUGUCUUUAUGUGGACCGUAGUUCCAUUUUCGUUGGUCUUUCACAGAAACGUUUUCUUCUACAUAGAUUACCGGAUGCCGGUGAUCUUUUCCAAGGAGCCAUUUUCCAUCACAACUUUCGUAGCGGGAAGUCUCUUGGUGAUGACUAGCAGCGUAUACAUUUUCAUAAAGAAAGUCAGCGUGGACAGCUACAUGACACAUCUGAUACUAUUGAUAACAGCGCAGUACAAGUACACCGCGUUAAAACUGGCAAUGAUAUUUCAAGGGGCACAGAACAAUUGCGAUGAUGCCAGCGAAGCGAAAAGUUACGACAUGAAUCAGUACGCGAAGAAGAAAAUUAAAAUUAUAUGCCAGCAACACAACGCGGUCCUUCACAUGACGUUCCUGCUAAGAGAAUUGCUGUCUUCGAAUCUGAGCAUAAUGUAUUUAAAUAACGUUUUCCGAUUUUGCUGUAUCGUCAUCAUGGUGAUUUCAGUUACAAUUUGCUGCUGAAUGACUGAUCCUCUGGCAACGUCUACAUUGGAUGACGUCUCUUCUUCUCAGUUUUUCCCAUCGAAUAACUUGGUUGCAAAUCGUCUUGAUUUUAUAAAGUUGAUUCGGUAUACUGUGUGGCGAGAGUUGUAUCAGCAUACAUGCUCUUCUAAAACUUCUUGCAGUUCGAAGGAUGGAUCGAUGCCUUUGAGUAAAUACGUAUAUAUUUUUUCUUCUUUUGGGGUAAAAGAAUAAAAGUUUGUGUUUGCUUCCAUCAGGGCCUUUUUAACUUUGUGGAAAUUAUGAAUAUCCUCAAGUAAUAACACAUGUUUAGUUUCGUUAAUUCUUUUGAUAUGAAAUCUGUGAUCUCCUGUGAUUUCUUUGGUAAGUCUCCAGGUAUCUUUAGGUUCUUGAAAAAAUAUAUGAAUGGGCGGCGGCCGUCCUUUGAAACUUCUCUUUGAUUGCAUGUGUUCCGCGUGUGACUGAUUGCUGUUAGUGGUGUGACUUGUUUGUUGUGUAUUCUCUGUAUGUUGUACUUUUCGGUUAUUAUUCUUCUGUUUUAAUGAAUUGAUAAAGGAGAGGUUGGUCUCAUCCUCUGUAUCCAUAUCAUUAACAGACUCCGAAGAUAUGAGGUUCAGAGGAUCAAAUCUAUUCUUCGUGCUUACCAAAGGAAUGUGUGUCUCAUAAUUCUGAGAAGAGGGAGAGGGUGUAAAUUGCGCUCCCUUACUCGUUCCUGGUUCCAUUUCCUUCCUUACUGUGGAAAUGUUGUCGGAUGGGCAUAUGAAAUUUGCCUCUUAUUGUUCCGGGCUACUUGGCUGCGUAUUUUCUGGGUUGCUAGUAUACGUAGUUUUACGUCUAGCCGCGUUGAGGUUUGGUUUAACGUUUCGCCAUUGUUUUUUGAGGUUUUUGUUCACUUGUGACUGGAUUUUAGAUUUUAUUGCAGUCGAAACAUCUUGUAAUGUUUCAUCGGCCGCGAUGGCCGAGGUUAUGUUUGAGGUUAGGUCUUCCUUCCUCGCCGACAUUCUUUUAAUUCGCUCUUUUUUUGUUAUCACCUGCACGGUUUUGAAGGGCGAAGAUGUACCUCAAUCGAGGCGCAGGAGCCCUGGUUGAGAAUCUGUGUACAAAACUUCGAAAAAAACUUCGAAACUGUGC
RNAcentral lists this unclassified non-coding RNA (3105 nucleotides) under Ooceraea biroi (clonal raider ant). RNAcentral describes it as "odorant receptor 85f, transcript variant X3". The record is from RNAcentral. Lineage: Eukaryota; Metazoa; Arthropoda; Insecta; Hymenoptera; Formicidae.